GACGAACGCUGGCGGCGUGCUUAACACAUGCAAGUCGAACGGAAAGGCCCUGCUUGCAGGGUGCUCGAGUGGCGAACGGGUGAGUAACACGUGGGUGAUCUGCCCCUUACUUUGGGAUAAGCCUGGGAAACUGGGUCUAAUACUGGAUAGGACCAUGCUGUAGGUGGUGUGGUGGAAAGAUUAGUUUCGGUAAGGGAUGAGCUCGCGGCCUAUCAGCUUGUUGGUGGGGUAAUGGCCUACCAAGGCGUCGACGGGUAGCCGGCCUGAGAGGGUGGACGGCCACAUUGGGACUGAGAUACGGCCCAGAGUCCUACGCGAGGCAGCAGUGGGGAAUAUUGCACAAUGGGCGCAAGCCUGAUGCAGCGACGCCGCGUGGGGGAUGACGGCCUUCGGGUUGUAGACUCCUUUCGGCCAUGACGAAGCACUUGUGGUGACGGUAGUGGUAGAAGAAGCACCGGCUAACUACGUG
RNAcentral lists this ribosomal RNA (469 nucleotides) under uncultured bacterium. RNAcentral describes it as "partial 16S ribosomal RNA". It matches the Rfam family "Bacterial small subunit ribosomal RNA", at positions 28 to 507 of the family's 1533-position model. The record is from RNAcentral.